This 493-nucleotide long non-coding RNA is filed under the name Salvia miltiorrhiza (redroot sage). RNAcentral describes it as "long non-coding RNA (SMIL_LNC008494)". Lineage: Eukaryota; Viridiplantae; Streptophyta; Magnoliopsida; Lamiales; Lamiaceae. The record is from RNAcentral.
AUACAACUUGGGAUGCUAUCAGAUUUGACUGAAGACAUUCGCAUUAAAGCAUUUAACUUGCUUGAUACCAAGUAAAAAAAAGAUGAAUUUUUGAAAAUGACUGUUGAUGAAUAUAAAAGUUGGAUAGCUUACAAGAUUAGAGAUUAGAGGAUAGUGAUGAGUUUAGUCAUGUUUUUGGAAUUAUGUUUUUUUUUUUGUUUGACCAUCUUUUUAUGAGUACAUUGUUUUGUUGGUUUUUUAUUUUAAGACUUUAUUUUCUUCAUUAAUGAAUUAGUAUUUUUUUUUACAUUUUUAGUCAAGUGCCUUUAUUAUUAUUUCAAUUAUUGUUUCAUUGUUUAUAUUGCAGCAUGAAUUAUGAAGAUAAAAUUGAAGAUGAAAUGAAAGAUGAACUUGAGGAUGAAAUUGAAACAGAAAUGGAGCUUGAACUUUAUGAUCAGGUUAGGCUCUUGAUGGAGGCAACUAAGGCAAUUAUCAUUUUAUUGGGAAAUAUUAU